AGCGAACGCUGGCGGCAGGCCUAACACAUGCAAGUCGAACGAUCCUUCGGGAUAGUGGCGGACGGGUGAGUAACACGUGGGAACGUGCCCUUUGGUUCGGAAUAACUCAGGGAAACUUGAGCUAAUACCGGAUGAGCCCUUCGGGGAAAGAUUUAUCGCCAUUGGAGCGGCCCGCGUUGGAUUAGCUAGUUGGUGGGGUA
Molecule: ribosomal RNA, 200 nt
Filed under: uncultured bacterium
Lineage: Bacteria
Description: partial 16S ribosomal RNA
Rfam family: Bacterial small subunit ribosomal RNA
Source: RNAcentral